RNAcentral lists this ribosomal RNA (677 nucleotides) under uncultured archaeon. RNAcentral's name for it is "bacterial SSU rRNA". It matches the Rfam family "Archaeal small subunit ribosomal RNA", at positions 321 to 999 of the family's 1478-position model. The record is from RNAcentral.
CCCUAUGGGGUGCAGCAGUCAGGGAUUUUUUACAAUGCACGAAAGUGUGAUAAAGCGAGCCAGAGUGUUCUUCUAUAAGAAGAACUUUUGCCAGUUGUAAAAAGGCUGGCGAAUAAGGACUGGGCAAGACUGGUGCCAGCCGCCGCGGUAAUACCAGCGGUCCAAGUCGCGACCACGAUUAUUGGGUCUAAAACAUCCGUAGCUUGUUCUGUAAGUCCCUUGUGAAAUCUCGUGUCUCAAGCACGAGGCUGGCAAGAGAUACUGCAAGACUAGAGACUGGAAGACGUGAAGAGUACGGCCAAAGUAGCGGUAAAAUGCGUUGAUCUUGGUUGGACUAACAAUAGCGAAGGCACUUCGCGAGUACAGAUCUGACAGUGAGGGAUGAAGGCUAGGGGCGCAAAACGGAUUAGAUACCCGUGUAGUCCUAGCAGUAAACACUGCACACUAAACAUCGGUGCCUCCUCGAGAGGCGUCGGUGCUGCAGGGAAGCCGUAGAGUGUGCUACCUGGGAAGUAUAGUCGCAAGGCCGAAACUUAAAGGAAUUGGCGGGGGAGCACUACAACGGGUGACGCGUGCGGUUCAAUUAGAUUCCACACCGUGAACCUCACCAGGACCGACAGCAGGAUGAAGGUCAGUCUAAAGGGCUUACCUGACACGCUGAGAAGAAGUGCAUGGCC